Molecule: non-coding RNA, 1173 nt
Organism: Pimephales promelas (fathead minnow)
Lineage: Eukaryota; Metazoa; Chordata; Actinopteri; Cypriniformes; Leuciscidae
Source: RefSeq, a predicted model, not a curated record
UCUGACGCGUCGCUGACCAGCACAAGACGAACGAUUGUGGUUAAAAAGUAUAUAAAUGUAUAUUUUAUUUUUUAAAUGUCCGAUGGUUUCGCUAGAUAAGCCCCUGUUCCUCAGCUGGGGUCGUGGAGCUGAAGCUGAAGCUCUUCAGAGCCGUGCGAAACUGCAUCGAUUUGGACUACAACAUGUUGGUUGCAAUUGAAGUUCAAAAUUGUGUGGAAAAAUCCUCAAAUGUGGAUAAUGUCUUUUCCACUGAAGAAAGAUAGAAAGACAUGGGGCUUGAGACGUAAUAAUUAUGCGAAGCACUUCAAAGAGCGUUCCAGGUGCUCGUGACAAGCCCAAACACAGUUCCUCCAGAGAACCUCACAGACACAGCUUCAACAUAUGAUCAGAUUCAUCCAGAUGCAGUAAAUCCCACACUUGUAAGAGCUUCAGGUCAUCAGCUUCACCCACUACAUGAAGAAUCCCCUGCUCCACCUCCAUCGUCUCCUUCGUCAUGUGCUACUUCAGGUUUUCUCUCUCCUGAAGCGUGAAGUGAGUUGUUUGACGCGACACCGUCAAUCUAGACGUCAUGGAUUGAGUUUCAGAGAGAAGACGUCUCAAACUCCCCCACUAACCCAAAACACUUCCAGCCCUUCCGUCACUCAACUCCAUGACAUCUGGAAUUUCAACAAGACGAGAGAGAGAGAGAGAGAGAGAGAGAGAGAGAGACUGCAGACUUUAAUCUUAGACUGGAAUCAAACUAGCAGGAAAAGCAAACAGAAGUGAAAAGAACAGCAGAGAAAUAAAGAGGCUUUGCUCUUAAACAUGAAACAUUUGCCGUGGAUCAGCGCUUUGUCAUUCCUGCUUUAUUUUUCCUUGGGAACUGCAGAUUACAGGUAAGAACCUUCUCCUGGAUAAAGUUGUGGAGAAAAUGCUAUUGCUCUUGGUUUCAUUGGAGUUUCAGCCAGUUUAUAUCCAGAUCUGGUUGCAGACUUCAGAUUCUCGUGUAAGAUUACUGAGAAACUAAUGAGAUCUGCUUCGGUAGACACUUAACAUACCCGCAGUUCCCAUAAUUAGUAAUUAAUGCGCAUAAACAUUUGUGACCAAUGCAGCUUUUUAGAUCAAGAUCAAUUUUUAAUCCUUUUUAACCAUAUUAAUUCUAUUUAUCUUGACAAUUCAUGAAUUUCAGUAAAA